Molecule: ribosomal RNA, 424 nt
Filed under: uncultured Bacteroidota bacterium
Lineage: Bacteria; Pseudomonadati; Bacteroidota
Description: bacterial SSU rRNA
Rfam family: Bacterial small subunit ribosomal RNA
Source: RNAcentral
UGAGGAAUAUUGGUCAAUGGACGGAAGUCUGAACCAGCCAUGCCGCGUGAAGGAAUAAGGCCCUACGGGUCGUAAACUUCUUUUGUGGUGGAGCAAUAAGACGUACGCGUACGUCGAUGAGAGUACAUCACGAAUAAGCAUCGGCUAACUCCGUGCCAGCAGCCGCGGUAAUACGGAGGAUGCAAGCGUUAUCCGGAUUUAUUGGGUUUAAAGGGUGCGUAGGCUGUGUAGCAAGUCAGUGGUGAAAGCCCGGUGCUCAACACCGGAACUGCCAUUGAUACUGUUGCGCUGGAAUACGGAUGCCGUGGGAGGAAUGAGUAGUGUAGCGGUGAAAUGCAUAGAUAUUACUCAGAACACCGAUUGCGAAGGCAUCUCACGAAUCCGUCAUUGACGCUGAGGCACGAAAGCGUGGGGAUCAAACAGG